ACUCUGUCGGGAUGCUUGCAUAACAUACGACAGUAGGCACUGUAAAAUUGUAUCAAGAGACCUUAAAUCCACAUAAAUCGAAUCUUCCACGAACUUUCUAUUGUAUCAUAAACAUACUUUUACGGGGAACCAUGCAUUUCGUCAUGCUUUUAACAUUAUGCCUGUUUAUAUGGAACGUACAAGAAAGUCAGGAAUCACUAAUUACAGAAAAUGACUGGACGGAUGAGUGUAGAGAGAUACUUUUAAAUGAUUCUGCAGGACCAUCCAGCCUACGCUAUUUGGAAUGCAUGUAUUGGGCUUAUGGAUUUACAAAAACGGAGGCACAAGAAUUUGCUAAAGAGGAGAUGGAAGGAAGAGGAUAAAGGAAAGCUUCAAGCCAUAUAAAAGUAAACAUGGAUUUUAUUAUUACUGUCUUUGAUACAACAUCAAUAGACCUUAUCUGCUACACUUGAAACGUGAAUUUAUGACACUUGAUCUGUUGACGUCAUUUAGCAAUCUGUAUUCUUCUGUAGCGUAAUACUUCAUUUGUGAUGUUAAAUUGUGCGUCUCUGGUGUUUAUUAUACAGUCAUAGAGACAUGCUGAUUAAAUAAUUAUAAGACAUUGUGUUAGAUGAAUUCAAACAUGUUUGAAGCAACAAAAUGUAAUAAAAACUACUUCAUUUUGCAUAUCCAAACCCAGACAAAAUUACUUUUCCUCUUCUUUUUUUGUGUGCAUGAAACGUUAUAGUAUUAGCUGUAUCUCACUUGUUACGUUAAUAUAGCAUAUUCAAAGCGUUAUUGCAUUAAUAACUCUUCACCUUAUAUUUUUUUUGCAUUAUGCCAUGCUUCGCAUAAAAAGUUUAUGCAUAUACUAUAAUAUAAAUAUAUUCAAUAAAACUUUAAGGAGUGGUAUCUUUAAA
Long non-coding RNA from Mytilus californianus (California mussel), 899 nucleotides. RefSeq lists it as uncharacterized. NCBI's taxonomy places the organism in Eukaryota, Metazoa, Mollusca, Bivalvia, Mytilida, Mytilidae. The transcript is spliced from 3 exons. The record is from RefSeq and is a predicted model, not a curated record.